UCCAGACUCCUACGGGAGGCAGCAGUGGGGAAUAUUGCACAAUGGGGGGAACCCUGAUGCAGCGACGCCGCGUGGGUGAAGGAGUACUUCGGUACGUAAAGCCCUAUCAGCAGGAAAGAAAAUGACGGUACCUGACUAAGAAGCCCCGGCUAACUACGUGCCAGCAGCCGCGGUAAUACGUAGGGGGCAAGCGUUAUCCGGAUUUACUGGGUGUAAAGGGAGCGUAGACGGUAUGGCAAGUCUGAUGUGAAAACCCGGGGCUCAACCCCGGGACUGCAUUGGAAACUGUCGGACUAGAGUGUCGGAGAGGCAAGUGGAAUUCCUAGUGUAGCGGUGAAAUGCGUAGAUAUUAGGAGGAACACCAGUGGCGAAGGCGGCUUGCUGGACGAUGACUGACGUUGAGGCUCGAAAGCGUGGGGAGCAAACAGGAUUAGAUACCCGUGUAUG
This 447-nucleotide ribosomal RNA is filed under the name uncultured bacterium. RNAcentral describes it as "bacterial SSU rRNA". It matches the Rfam family "Bacterial small subunit ribosomal RNA", at positions 330 to 793 of the family's 1533-position model. The record is from RNAcentral.